Molecule: long non-coding RNA, 4310 nt
Organism: Plodia interpunctella (Indianmeal moth)
Lineage: Eukaryota; Metazoa; Arthropoda; Insecta; Lepidoptera; Pyralidae
Exons: 3
Source: RefSeq, a predicted model, not a curated record
AAUACCGCGCAUUCUCGACGAAUGGGUAUAACAGAUUACCUUACCUUAUAAAGAACCCCGUGAAGGAUCUAUGAUUUUCUGUUUUACUUGGUAUUGAUGUCAUUUAUCUGUAUUAUAAUUAUACAUAUGUGUGCUGCCCAUAAUUAGGUAACGAGUUUGUUAUAUUAUAAAAUUAUGACAUUUCUACACAUACUGACCCUUUCCAUAGGCUGGUGGCCCGCUAACCCAUCGACAUGAUGAUCUAAUUUCACAAACCGUAACCGAUCAAAUGAAUAUCGUACCGCUUUCUUAAUCCAUGGGGACGAAGCAAUGUGGGCCAGCUGGACUCGUGUGCAGGCUAAAAAGUCUGCGAGAUAGUAGAAUGUACAAAACGUUACCUUCAUUUAAUGCAAAUUUUAACGGCAUAAGGAAUACCAUGAAUGUUGCGUUUCAGUGAUUUUGAAGAAAAGCUUUUCAUGAAGAUCUAACUUACACACAAUCGUCUUUACAUAUAAAUACUUUAGGCAUAAUCGACGAUUCGGUGUCAGCCUACACAUCCAGCAUGUUUGACAAUAAUAUAAACUUAAUGUUAAUCAACAUGUGGUUACCAAAUGUAUUCAAUUAUAAAAACUCAUCAGUUUGCCAUUUUGAAAGCCGGGAUAUGUAGGUUCAACGACUUGUAUUUGAAUAGCGCCUGUGCUCGGUGUGGGUGUUAUUGUUCUGAGUAAUUAUUGCAGGGUUGAGGAACCUCGCUAUUCUGACACGCCUCGAUCUGUCAUUAACACCUACGGGAUGGCUCAUUUAUUCAUGUGAAGAGAACUUUCACCAUGGAAUGCUGUAAAAAAGUUUACAACAUAAAUAGUUAGUACGAUCAACGGAGAAAAUUUUCUGCCUCUUUCUGAUUCUGUCAUCUCAGGUGCGUUACUUAUCCCACUUACUAAUAUUAUAAAUGCGAAAGUUUGUGAGAAUGUAUGUGUGUGUAUGUUUGUUACUCUUUCAAAUAAACCAAAUUUCUUAACAAAACGUCCAUUAGAUUUUGAAAAUUCCACGGGAGCGAAGCCCAGGGGCGUAGUUAGUAUAAUAAUAUGUUCUUAUAAGUAAGUACAAAUUACAUACAUACACCGAAUCAUAUGCAAUACGUACUACAUAGAUAUUUAUUCCAUUUUCAGAAACAUUCAUCCAUACCUACUUUUAAUAGUAAAUUAUAUUUAAUUCAUUUAAUAUUUUUAUACUUAGGUCAAAUUCACUUUUUACUUUUUAUUUGGUACCUUAGUAGCGUGAUUGUUAUAUUAUCAGGAAACCAAAUGACUAUUGGAUAAAUUCAGACAAAUCCCAAGUCUUACCCAUUUUAUAAUUAUGACAAUCCGUAUUGGUAAUUAAGUAAGUACGUAACUUUUUCACUGUUCAAUUUAUACUGCAUAUAAUGAUUUGUCCUGUUUAUGAACUUGAAUCAAAAUAUUUUACUCACAGUAAACUAUGGCAGUCGAGUGAAUAACUCAUAAGUCGAGUGAAUAAAGGUUGACUCAUGAUAUGAACAGAUUGUGUACCUAUUGAUUCGGCAUAAAAUUACGCAAUGUUCAUGCAUUUGCGUCGGCAUCUGUCUGAUUAUGGCGAUAGCCCGCGCACGGGGCACCAUUCUAAAUCUAUGAGCGAUAGCGUGUAGCCACCAUAAAGUACUUUGAUUUAGUAGCCUGCCAUCUAGCGGCGAGUAGCCACAUCACUAAACAAGUCCUGGCGGACCCUGGUCUCCGAUGCUCAACGGCUGCGGAAGACACCGAAGAAACGCUCAUAUAUCUAAAUAAAAGACAAGUGGGAGAGAGUUCGCAGACAAGACCGCAUUGAGGUCACACUUUUCAUAAAUCAAUUAACAGGGACAUAAACGUCUAAAUUUCUUAGCGUGACUCCUUUUUUAUUUGUGGAAUUCUCUGAUAUCUAUACAAGAUUGAGAUGUAUCGGGCAAUAAAAUGCAUCUUACGAAUUUUAUUUAGAAAGCGGAAGACAUUAUUGUGAGACUGAUCCUACUCCUGUGUAGUAGUAUACCAAUAUCCAGUUAGCUUUGCCACAGCUUUGCUAACAUAAUUCGACUUCCUAGAUGUCUUAAUCUUUACGUUUCUAGUCAUAGUUCGUGAGCAUCGCAUCAUAUAAGGAAGUAAAAUCACUACCUAAUCUAUCUAUGCAUUUACAUAAAAGUAUAGUACCCGUUUAUUAUUCGUAGGUAUGUUAGGUAUAUAAUAACGCAUAGGCGUGUUAAAAUCAUAAUUGUUUGUAAUAAAAUCUUUUAAAACAAUAAAAUGCUAAUAUUUAAUGGUUCCAUUAUUAUAAUAUGCGUAUUGAAGAAUUUUAAUUAAUAUUUGAAAAACCAAGGUCAACAGAAGCUGCUAUUAAUAAAAUGUGAUAUGGGGUGAGAAUUUACACCUACGUUACUAAAUCACUUUUUUAAAUGAAAAUUUUUGAUUUUGAAAAUUGCAGAUUAUUAUCAUUCGGAGGAGGACUCGGAAAUAAAACAUUUUCAAAUUGGCUCCCAGUGAGCAAGAGCUGAGUAGGAAAUAUUUUAUCUAGGGGCUUUAUUACCUGCUUCGCCGGGAGAUUUCUAGAAAAGAGGAUAAAAAUAACUUAUUACGGAUCGCGGCUUGCCGCGCUGCGCCUAUUCUGUUUUUCCUCUUUCAUUAUUUUCUCAAUAUUGCAAUAAAUUAAUAAAAAUGUGGUAAAUCACUAGAUAGCAUAAAAACAAAGUCGUUUUCCGCUGUCUGUCAGUCCCUAUUUAUGCUUAGAUCUUUAAUAUGGUUUUACCCGAACGAAGCCGCAUUUGGCAAAUAUACCUAAACACAGUUUAGAUUUUAUGCUCAGUAACUAUAAAAAUAAACUUCUUACAAUAGUAUGCUAACGUUGUAAGUAAGUUUUGGAAGAAGAUGUCAUAAACUUAAGAAAAAAAUAAUAUCACUAAUCAAGAGUCUAGUUACUUAGGUUCAUUUAAAAAAUCUUAUUUGUUACAUGCUAACAUUGAAAUAUUAUAAACCUUUUUUACCUUACAAAUGCAGCUGCCAGUUAUUUGGAAAAUUAGGUAUGGGAAUAGACUACAGUACGAUCGACCGAAAUAUUCUAUUAUAUCGUUUCAUUACAUUAAAUAAGCUCUCACUCUAAUCCUCAUGUGUUCCCGGUUACAUUCGGAGCAGUGUCGCCUCGAAGCCCAGGUUUCGAGUCAAAAAAUCAACCAUCAAAUUUUGAAGAUUUUACUAGGCUUUUAUAACCCUUUAGGCAUACUGUCCUAUGCCUGGUCUUAUAUGACCACACGCCACAUUGGCUAACAUUGCGAAAAAGAUUUAAAUUAUUUUAUGACUUGUCUAAUUGUAUUUAUACACUCUUAAGGAUAAGUAGUCUAAUUGCUCCGGCCAAGUCAAAGUUUAAAGUUAUGAAGGCGUACGAUGGACAUCGUACUCGUCUGCCUAUAUAUGCCAUUGCCCAUACGAGUAGUGCUCAUGGCUGAUGAUGGCUGACGCAUAAUAUUAUACAAACCAGUUCUUUUGACUUUGAAAUUACAUUUCAAUAAGCGUGUCAAGGUCGCGAUUGUUAUAUAACUGCUAACUCAAUUCACAUAUGGGAGUGGAUACAAUACGUAUAGUACUGUUUUUCACAAACUUCCUAAAUGAGUGGAUAUAGUAUGAUAAGACCAAUUCGUAAAUAUAGCCGUUAAUUCUCCUAAAAAUAAGUAAGAUUCAUUUCUACCAUGAUGGAGCUUGAUACUAGCACAUAUAUAUCUUGAUUAUUCCUAUACCAAGCUUUUCACAUUGACACAUUGCUUGCUAUGCAUGAAUUAAACCUCAACCAUUUGUUAAAUGAGAAUAAGUAGGUAGGUACUAGUACUUCUUCUUAGAUUCGACUAGAUAAUUUAUGAGGACUAAAAAAUUAUAUAUAGUAUUUCCCAUUUAAAAAAGGGUUUAGAAAGAAUACAACGAAUACAAAUAAUCUAAGCUUUGGUACUACUUCUCGAUCUAGUUCUGUACUACAAAAAUAAUUCAGUGACGGAGCUGAAAAUUACGAAAUAUUAUAAAUUAAAUGUCGAUCUAUUUACGUAUUCCUUGAUAGUGUAUGAUAGUGAAUAUCACUUGAUCUAAACUAUAGUCAUGACGAGUGUUUCUUGCGUGGUCUACAUAGUUAGUAAAUGAAUAAUUAAACAUGUACGCAAUCAAGUCGUAUUUCGCAUUACAUUUCAGGUGAUUAAUUUUCAACAUUUUAUUUUAAAUUACUUAUACAUAUAAUGGUUCUAGGCUUGUAUAAUGGCCUGAAGAGUUUCCAACUAACCUAGUUACACCACUGUUGGUGUUUGCAGUUUG